This 80-nucleotide transfer RNA is filed under the name Phytohabitans houttuyneae. RNAcentral's name for it is "tRNA-Arg". The record is from RNAcentral. Lineage: Bacteria; Bacillati; Actinomycetota; Actinomycetes; Micromonosporales; Micromonosporaceae.
ACUGGGCCUUGUGAGGCUUCGGCACAGGCGGGUUCCGGUCUCCCCCGUUCACGAUCGUGGUGCCUGUCCCCGUUCUGGUC